RNAcentral lists this ribosomal RNA (882 nucleotides) under uncultured archaeon. RNAcentral describes it as "bacterial SSU rRNA". It matches the Rfam family "Archaeal small subunit ribosomal RNA", at positions 114 to 997 of the family's 1478-position model. The record is from RNAcentral.
CUUAGGUCGGGGAUAAACCCGGGAAACUGGGUAUAAUACCCGAUAGAUCUCGACUGCUGGAAUGCAUCGAGAUCCAAAGCUCCGGCGCCUAAGGAUGGGUCUGCGGCCUAUCAGGUAGUAGUGGGUGUAGCGUACCUACUAGCCUACGACGGGUACGGGUUGUGAGAGCAAGAGCCCGGAGAUGGAUUCUGAGACACGAAUCCAGGCCCUACGGGGUGCAGCAGGCGCGAAAACUUUACAAUGCUGGAAACAGCGAUAAGGGGACCUCGAGUGCCAGGUUACAAAUCUGGCUGUCGUGAUGCCUAAAAAGCAUUGCAUAGCAAGGGCCGGGCAAGACCGGUGCCAGCCGCCGCGGUAACACCGGCGGCUCGAGUGGUAACCGUUAUUAUUGGGUCUAAAGGGUCUGUAGCCGGCCGGAUAAGUCUCUUGGGAAAUCCAGCAGCUCAACUGUUGGGCUUUCAGGAGAUACUGUCUGGCUCGAGGCCGGGAGAGGUGAGAGGUACUUCAGGGGUAGGGGUGAAAUCUUGUAAUCCUUGAAGGACCACCAGUGGCGAAGGCGUCUCACCAGAACGGACCUGACGGCAAGGGACGAAAGCUAGGGGCACGAACCGGAUUAGAUACCCGGGUAGUCCUAGCCGUAAACGAUACUCGCUAGGUGUCGGCCACGGUGCGACCGUUGUCGGUGCCGUAGGGAAGCCGUGAAGCGAGCCACCUGGGAAGUACGGCCGCAAGGCUGAAACUUAAAGGAAUUGGCGGGGGAGCACCACAACGGGUGGGGCUUGCGGUUUAAUUGGAUUCAACGCCGGAAAUCUUACCGGGACCGACAGCAAUAUGAAGGCCAGGCUGAAGACUUUGCCGGAUUAGCUGAGAGGAGGUGCAUGG